UACGAAGGGGGCUAGCGUUGCUCGGAAUUACUGGGCGUAAAGCGCACGUAGACGGCUUUCUAAGUCGGGGGUGAAAUCCUGGAGCUCAACUCCAGAACUGCCUUCGAUACUGGAAAGCUCGAGUCCGGGAGAGGUGAGUGGAACUGCGAGUGUAGAGGUGAAAUUCGUAGAUAUUCGCAAGAACACCAGUGGCGAAGGCGGCUCACUGGCCCGGUACUGACGCUGAGGUGCGAAAGCGUGGGGAGCAAACAGG
Molecule: ribosomal RNA, 253 nt
Filed under: uncultured bacterium
Lineage: Bacteria
Description: partial 16S ribosomal RNA
Rfam family: Bacterial small subunit ribosomal RNA
Source: RNAcentral